AUGGACAGGAAUCUCUUCCUUCCUAGUGGGGAAAGGAACAUGGCGACUGUUGGGGUUGAUGGGACACUUUGGGGGAUCCGGAAGGCCAAAAAAUAUGGCAUGUUUCGAGCUGCGAUCCCAGCGCACUGCUCUUUCAUGUUUGCUACUGGAUUAGCAACCGUUGGAGCUUGGUACAAGUGGAGGGAAAAAGGGGAGGCGUCGCAACAGGGCGCAAAGCUCAUGGCAUCUGAAGCGUUCCAUUUUCUUCCGGAAAGGAGGAUAACUCCCAGCCUCUGCCAUCAAAGCAAUGCACACAGCCAUCCAUGGAGGCAGGAGUCUUCUCUCUUCUGGGUGGCUGUAUUGUAUUGGUAUUGCUCUUCUCUUUUCUAUCUCUUGCGCGCCGUGCCUCUACUACGUCUACGUACCAGCUGGUUCAUCUCCGGUUAA
Molecule: ribosomal RNA, 426 nt
Filed under: Triticum aestivum (bread wheat)
Lineage: Eukaryota; Viridiplantae; Streptophyta; Magnoliopsida; Poales; Poaceae
Description: partial small subunit ribosomal RNA
Source: RNAcentral